UCAAGCUACUAAGGGCAUACGGUGGAUGCCUAGGCGCCAGGAGCCGAAGAAGGACGCGGUAAGCUGCGAAAAGCCACGGGGAACUGCAAGCGAGUAUUGAUCCGUGGAUAUCCGAAUGGGGAAACCCGGCCAUCGUAAUGGAUGGUCAUCCGCAAGGAAGGGAACCCGGGGAACUGAAACAUCUAAGUACCCGGAGGAAAAGAAAUCAAACGAGAUGCCCACAGUAGCGGCGAGCGAAGAGGGCAGAGCCCAAACCUGUAAGCUACGGCUUAUGGGGGUUGAGGACUGACGUAAUUAAGGCCAGGCUUAGCUGAACUACCUGGGAAGGUAGGCGAUAGAAGGUAAGAGCCCUGUAAGCGAAAGGCAGAGCCUUAAGGUCAGUAUCCAGAGUACCACGGAGCACGAGGAAUUCUGUGGGAAGCAGGGGGGACCACCCUCCAAGGCUAAAGACUAACUGGCGACCGAUAGCGCAUAGUACCGUGAGGGAAAGGUGAAAAGAACCCCGGGAGGGGAGUGAAAUAGUACCUGAAACCGUAUGUCUACAAGCAGUCGGAGCGAAAGCGACGGCGUGCCUAUUGAAGAAUGAACCAACGAGUUAUCUGCACUAGCGAGGUUAAGUGGAAGACACGGAGCCGUAGCGAAAGCGAGUCUGAAAAGGGCGAUGAGUUAGUGUAGGUAGACCCGAAACCGCAGUGAUCUACCCAUGUCCAGGUUGAAGCGCAGGUAAAAAUGCGUGGAGGACCGAACCGGUGAGCGUUGAAAAGCUUUCGGAUGAGAUGUGGGUAGGGGUGAAAUUCCAAUCGAACGCGGAGAUAGCUGGUUCUCCCCGAAAUAGCUUUAGGGCUAGCCUCAGGUAGUAAGUAUAGGCGGUAGAGCACUGAUCGGGCUAGGGGCCAUAAAGGUUACCGAACCCUGUCAAACUCCGAAUGGAUAUACUGCAGAGCCUGGGAGUCAGACUACGAGUGAUAAGAUCCGUGGUCAAAAGGGAAACAGCCCAGACCACCGGCUAAGGUCCCAAAUGCCGUACUAAGUGGAAAAGGAUGUGGGGAUUCAUAAACAACCAGGAUGUUGGCUCAGAAGCAGCCACCAUUUAAAGAGUGCGUAAUAGCUCACUGGUCGAGAGUCCCUGCGCCGAAAAUUUCCGGGGCUAAAGUACGGAACCGAAGCCGUGGCUGUGCAUGUAAGUGCACGGGGUAGGGGAGCGUUGCCACAGGGGUGAAGCUGGUCUGGAAGGACUGGUGGACUUGUGGGAAGUGAGAAUGUUGGUAUGAGUAGCGAAAAGAAAGGUGAGAAUCCUUUCCACCGAAAGCAUAAGGAUUCCUGAGCAACGAUCGUCGUCUCAGGGUAAGUCGGGACCUAAUCCGAGGCAAAGAGCGUAGGAGAUGGACAACAGGUUGAUAUUCCUGUACCGGCAGCAAUUGUUUGAGCGAAGGAGUGACACAGAAGGGCAGGCAGGCGCGAGACUGGAUUGUCGCGUGCAAGCGUGUAGGGUAGUGUACAGGCAAAUCCGUACACUGAGAGCCUGAGGCGUUACGCGGAGCGAGCAGAGAUGCGAGCGAAGCUGCUGAUCCCACACUGUCGAGAAAAGCUUCUAGUGAGAGAGCUGCCGCCCGUACCGUAAACCGACACAGGUAUGCGGGGAGAGAAUCCUAAGGUGCGCGGGAGAACCCUCGUUAAGGAACUCGGCAAAAUGUACCCGUAACUUCGGGAUAAGGGUAGCCGUCUUGGUGAAGGAGCAUGCCUCCGGAGCUGAAGGCGGUCGCAGAGAAGAGGCCCAAGCGACUGUUUACCACAAACACAGGUGCCUGCUAAAGCGAAAGCUGACGUAUAGGUGCUGACACCUGCCCAGUGCUGGAAGGUUAAGGAAGGAUGUCCGGGCAACCAAAGCAUUCGACCGAAGCCCCAGUGAACGGCGGCCGUAACUAUAACGGUCCUAAGGUAGCGAAAUUCCUUGUCGGGUAAGUUCCGACCCGCACGAAAGGUGUAACGAUUUGGGCACUGUCUCAACGAGGGACCCGGUGAAAUUGAAAUACCUGUGAAGAUGCAGGUUACCCGCGACUGGACAGAAAGACCCCAUGGAGCUUUACUGUAACCUGACAUUGGGUUUUGUUGUAUUACGUACAGGAUAGGUGGGAGGCUUGGAAGGCUGGACGCUAGUCUGGCUGGAGCCGGCGUUGGGAUACCACCCUUGAUACAACGGAAUUCUAACCGAGAGAGUAACGAAAUCCGGGACAGUGUCAGGCGGGCAGUUUGACUGGGGCGGUCGCCUCCGAAAGAG
This 2278-nucleotide ribosomal RNA is filed under the name human gut metagenome. RNAcentral's name for it is "bacterial LSU rRNA". It matches the Rfam family "Bacterial large subunit ribosomal RNA", at positions 3 to 2297 of the family's 2925-position model. The record is from RNAcentral.